AAUUUGCAUGCACGUGAAGGGAAGAUAGAACUGAAGAAACUGAUUAAAAAAUAUAUAUUUCUUCAUGGCUGGACCUAAAACACAAGUGUCUGAUGAAGCAGUUUAUCAAACCGUCACGAGUCUGUGUCAGCAAGUCAAAGAAGGCCUCGUCUACAACGUGAACAGGAGGUUGGAUUCUGUCUUUGGUUAUCUAGCUGUAUGAGUGUUAAAUACCUGUCAUAAAGCUAGAUAACCGAAAGUAGAAAUUACUUCCACAUUCACGCUCUGAUGGGAAAUGAGGCCUUGUCUACUUCUGACAAUUUUCGCCAAGUUCAACCAAAGGCAUCUCAUUCACAACAUGCAGCACAAAAAGAGGACCUACCACCAGAACAGAACAUGGUGGAAGAAAUUGUCCCGAAAGAGCCAACCAAACCCUAUCUCAACACCACACCCUCUUUGCCCACGGGCCCAUCUGCACUGCCAACGGGCAUGUGCCAACAAGGGGACAAAGCCCCGGUGGAUCCUGGAGGAUGGCGCAUGGAGAUAUGCGCGGGAGAGAGAGGAGCCAUCUUGGGAGAUGUUGCCGCGGCACCUAAGAUGGCUGGGCUGGCACGCUAAGUAAGCAUGUGGAGUAUCAGGAGUGACAUUCUACAUAACCUUCUGGUGAUGGUGUGGACCAAUCCAGCAGACACCUUCAGACUAUUGGAAAACAUCUCUGUGACUGUCAUAGACUUCUUCUACAUCUGACAUUGGAAAACAUCUCUGUGACUGUCAUAGAUUUCUUCUACAUCUGACAUUGGAAAACAUCUCUGUGACUGUCAUAGACUUCUUCUACAUCUGACAUUGGAAAAAGCAACAUGUCUUUGCCACGGAACUAAAGGCAUAUGGAACAAUAUACAAGGAUUCUAAGUUAAAAGAGAGAGAGAUUCAUUCCACAGAAGAAGGGUUGUGGUAUUACUGAAUAUAAUCACCACCUAAAAUCACAAGACUAGUUAAUAAAAAAAUCUAUCAGUACUAUUCAUAGUAAAAGUAAUGCAGAAGUGUGUUUUCGCUUGAGUGGUGUGUGUGCGCGCGUGCAUGCGUGCUUGAUGUCAGUCUUUUUUGUCAGGUCCUUGCUUGAAAAAAUUAUAUUUCUUGCAUAGGUUUAGGGUAAAACUUAAUUGGAAAUAAUAGAAUAGGGGUUAGUUUUAGGUUUAGGCACCAGUUAGGUUUAGGGUUAGGUGUUAGGGCUUAGUUAAGUUCAGGCAUAAAGGUAUGAUUAUUAAGGUUAGGGUUAGCUGAGGGUUAAUUUUCUGGUUUGGGGAUAGUGAACAUAGAUUUCUGGGUUAGAGUUUGCCUUCAGAACCUCACAUGGAUAAAAACAAGUGUGUGUGUAUUGGUGUGUUUGUAAAUCUGCUUUGCCCAAACCAUAUGAAAUGUCACAUAUUAAAUGUCACAUAUCACAUAAUUGUCAAUAAAAUAUGGCUAUUUGCAUUGUA
This is a long non-coding RNA of Esox lucius (northern pike), 1457 nucleotides long. RefSeq lists it as uncharacterized. The record is from RefSeq and is a predicted model, not a curated record. The transcript is spliced from 4 exons. NCBI's taxonomy places the organism in Eukaryota, Metazoa, Chordata, Actinopteri, Esociformes, Esocidae.